This 468-nucleotide ribosomal RNA is filed under the name uncultured bacterium. RNAcentral describes it as "partial 16S ribosomal RNA". It matches the Rfam family "Bacterial small subunit ribosomal RNA", at positions 28 to 507 of the family's 1533-position model. The record is from RNAcentral.
GACGAACGCUGGCGGCGUGCUUAACACAUGCAAGUCGAACGGAAAGGCCCUGCUUUUGUGGGGUGCUCGAGUGGCGAACGGGUGAGUAACACGUGAGUAACCUGCCCUUGACUUUGGGAUAACUUCAGGAAACUGGGGCUAAUACCGGAUAGGAGCUCCUGCUGCAUGGUGGGGGUUGGAAAGUUUCGGCGGUUGGGGAUGGACUCGCGGCUUAUCAGCUUGUUGGUGGGGUAGUGGCUUACCAAGGCUUUGACGGGUAGCCGGCCUGAGAGGGUGACCGGCCACAUUGGGACUGAGAUACGGCCCAGACUCCUACGGGAGGCAGCAGAGGAGAAUAUUGCACAAUGGGCGGAAGCCUGAUGCAGCAACGCCGCGUGCGGGAUGACGGCCUUCGGGUUGUAAACCGCUUUCGCCUGUGACGAAGCGUGAAUGACGGUAAUGGGUAAAGAAGCACGGGCUAACUACGUG